CUCUUGUAUAAGCUCAUUAAUAGGUUUGAGCGUUUCGACCAGGUGACCGUAAAUUGCCCCAGGCUACAAGAG
Molecule: non-coding RNA, 72 nt
Filed under: unclassified sequences
Description: Guanine sequence
Rfam family: Purine riboswitch aptamer
About the family: Riboswitches are metabolite binding domains within certain messenger RNAs that serve as precision sensors for their corresponding targets.
Source: RNAcentral